RNAcentral lists this long non-coding RNA (2293 nucleotides) under Sus scrofa (pig). RNAcentral's name for it is "lncRNA (ENSSSCG00005007090.1)". The record is from RNAcentral. Lineage: Eukaryota; Metazoa; Chordata; Mammalia; Artiodactyla; Suidae.
CUUUGACAUCUUUUCCAUGACAAAAACUGAGUUACUGAUGUGUCUUUAUGAAGAACGACAGGAAGAGAGAGGAGAAAAAUCAGAUAAAUGGGGUGAUGGAGGUAAAUACAGACAGAAAAUGAAAAUGUCUGAAACACCCACAUCAGUUUUAUAUUUAUUUUUCAAAAACAACUUGCAACCUUCUAAUAGGAACAAUCCACUCACUUUGUUAUACUUAAGUUUGCAAGAUAUCAUUCAGUUAUGGUACACAGUUUACUCCAGAAUCUGAGAGUGGAAGGAAGCAGCAUAAGCCAUGGAAUUCUGCUUCCCUCCUAACGCAGAAACUGCUCAUCUGGCAUUUGGCUUCAUGUUAGGAAGCUCACUACCUCCUAAGGCAGUCUGUCUGUCUGUCUGUUGUAGCAUUCCAGCUGUUCAUUUGGUCUCUUUUAUGAUGCUCAAAGCUCACUCAUUAACUUGCCCUGGUUGGUCCCAGCUCUGCUCUGGAAGAACAAUGAGGCCACGCUUCUAUGUGACACACUCAUAAUGGAGGAGGCUUUACCCCUCAGCCUCCCAGUCCUCAGAACUAUUUCCAUAUCACGAGGUUGGUUUGGGUUAUCACUGCCACUUCCAAAGCACAGUAGCUAGAAUAAGACUAUCUUAAAUCCCUAGGCUCCUCUUCUCAACCUUUGACAUGUUUUCUGGGUAAUUUUAUCCAUAGCCAAAGAUCAAACGAGCUGACAGCUCCACAAAUUUGUAUAUGCAGUGCUGAACCCUUCUGUUGUGUCUGAACAUCCAUCUGGUUCCAGGACAUCUACUUGGGUCUUCUCCAGAUACCUCACGUUCCAUAUGGCCCUGACUGGUUUUAGCACCUUCCUCGAGGAAAUUGCCAGGCACCCCUAUUCCACGGCCCUGUGAAUUGGCUCACCACCCACAAGGUUGCCCCAGAUAGACAUCUAAACCCUUCAUUCAUCCCAAUGUUGUCUAAAGACAUCCGCCAUGCUUCCUUCACUUUUCUUCUGCCCCAAAGAUCCUUCCUUAAUUCAGACCACGGCUGACUGUUUAUGAAGUGAAUGUGCUUGAUUUUGCUUAUCUGAGGCCGCUGUGAUGUUUGAAGAACUAAGUAUUCUUUCUGACAGCAUCCUGUCUGUCUUUGUUGGGUUUACUUCGUCUCUGCCUGUAUUCUUAAUCUCCAUCUUCCAAUCCUCCAAACUGCUUCCAAAGUUACCUUGAUAUCAUAAAUCUGUUCAUGUCUCUAACCCCAUCUAACAUUCUUCAAAGUCCAUCUGUGUCUGAAGCGUAGCUUCAGCUUCUGUGGUGGUGGCCACUUAAUAAUGACCCUUGUCAUUUGACCUUUGAAUGGCCUAAUGACCCUUGAUGCUAUUUGACCAUAUUUGUCAGGCAGCACACACUGCCCCUUAAUGAAUCUUACAAAGGUAGCAUGUUCUUGAGAACCCAAGAUUAAACAUCUAAAUAGCAGUACAUGAAUGAAGGUGUUAUUAUUAUUUAUGUUUGCCUUAUACAUUUAGGAAAGAACAGUAUUUAUUUCUUAUUUCUUGAUGAAUUGAGCAAUCUCUCAUUUAGGAUGUCUGCACUAAAUUAGUGCUUCUCAAGAUAUCUCUCUUCUGAAAUUGGGUUUUUAUUAUUAAAACAGAGUAGACAUUUUCCCUUUUGCUUUUCAGUAACAUUUAUAAAAAGCAAUGCUGAGGAAGAAGUACUUCUUAAUCAAGGAAUCUGCUGAAUUAAAAGAUGGUGAAAUAAUAAACAAAAAAUAUUCUAUCGUUUUUGUCAUUUUCCAAAUAAAUCUUUCUCAUCUCUCUUCUCUCUCCUUCUGUACCAUACUUCCUCAUUCCUUCCUCAACACUCACCACAUUUUUCUCCUACUUUCUGAUGAUGGUAGGCAGCAAUGCCUUUUCAGGGUCAUUGCUGCAGUCAUGGUUCAUGCUUAUAGUCAUCUGGUAACCCACGGCAUUUAGCAUUCAGCACAGUAUAAAUAUGCUCUUCAUUUUGUGUAAGUCUAUACAUGGCUGAGUGAUCUUUCACUCACUUUUUGGCAUUAGAAGAUCAACAAAGCAGAAAUAUGACUUCCCAAAACAUGUGUUUCAAAAUCAGAAAUCAGGAGUUCCCGUCGUGGCACAGUAGAAACGAAUCCAACAAGGAACCAUGAGGUUUUGGGUUUGAUCCCUGGCCUUGCUCAGUGGGUUAAGGAUCUGGCAUUGCCAUGAGCUGUGGUGUAGGUCUCAGAUGCGGCUCCGAUGCGGUGUUGCUGUGGCUGUAGCAUAGGCCAGCAGCUACAGCUCCGAUUUGACCCCUAGCC